CCUACGGGAGGCAGCAGUGGGGAAUAUUGCGCAAUGGGCGAAAGCCUGACGCAGCGACGCCGCGUGGGGGAUGACGGCCUUCGGGUUGUAAACCUCUUUCAGCAGGGACGAAGCGAGAGUGACGGUACCUGCAGAAGAAGCACCGGCCAACUACGUGCCAGCAGCCGCGGUAAUACGUAGGGUGCAAGCGUUGUCCGGAAUUAUUGGGCGUAAAGAGCUCGUAGGCGGUCUGUCGCGUCGGCUGUGAAAUCCCGAGGCUCAACCUCGGGUCUGCAGUCGAUACGGGCAAACUAGAGUGUUGCAGGGGAGACUGGAAUUCCUGGUGUAGCGGUGAAAUGCGCAGAUAUCAGGAGGAACACCGGUGGCGAAGGCGGGUCUCUGGGCAACAACUGACGCUGAGGAGCGAAAGCGUGGGGAGCGAACAGGAUUAGAUACCCUGGUAGUCCACGCCGUAAACGUUGGGCGCUAGGUGUGGGGCUCAUUCCACGAGUUCCGUGCCGCAGCUAACGCAUUAAGCGCCCCGCCUGGGGAGUACGGCCGCAAGGCUAAAACUUAAGGAAUUGACGG
RNAcentral lists this ribosomal RNA (567 nucleotides) under uncultured bacterium. RNAcentral describes it as "bacterial SSU rRNA". It matches the Rfam family "Bacterial small subunit ribosomal RNA", at positions 338 to 916 of the family's 1533-position model. The record is from RNAcentral.